ACGAACGCUGGCGGCGUGCUUAACACAUGCAAGUCGAACGGAAAGGCCCUGCUUUUGUGGGGUGCUCGAGUGGCGAACGGGUGAGUAACACGUGAGUAACCUGCCCUUGACUUUGGGAUAACUUCAGGAAACUGGGGCUAAUACCGGAUAGGAGCUCCUGCUGCAUGGUGGGGGUUGGAAAGUUUCGGCGGUUGGGGAUGGACUCGCGGCUUAUCAGCUUGUUGGUGGGGUAGUGGCUUACCAAGGCUUUGACGGGUUGCCGGCCUGAGAGGGUGCCCGGCCACAUUGGAACUGGGAUACGGCACAGACUCCUACGGGAGGCAGCAGUGGGGAAUAUUGCACAAUGCGCGGAAGCCUGAUGCUGCAACGCCGCGUGCGGGAUGACGGCCUUCGGCUUGUAAACCGCUUUCGCCUGUGACGAAGCGUGAGAGACGGUAAUGGAUAAAGAAGCACCGGCUAACUACGUG
Molecule: ribosomal RNA, 467 nt
Filed under: uncultured bacterium
Lineage: Bacteria
Description: partial 16S ribosomal RNA
Rfam family: Bacterial small subunit ribosomal RNA
Source: RNAcentral